AUACGGAGGGUCCAAGCGUUAUCCGGAAUCAUUGGGUUUAAAGGGUCCGUAGGCGGAUAAUUAAGUCAGAGGUGAAAUCCCACAGCUCAACUGUGGAACUGCCUUUGAUACUGGUUAUCUUGAAUUAUAGUGAAGUAGAUAGAAUAUGUAGUGUAGCGGUGAAAUGCAUAGAUAUUACAUAGAAUACCGAUUGCGAAGGCAGUCUACUAACUAUAUAUUGACGCUGAUGGACGAAAGCGUGGGGAGCGAACAGAAUUAGAAACCCUAGUAGUCC
This 274-nucleotide ribosomal RNA is filed under the name uncultured bacterium. Its description in RNAcentral is "partial 16S ribosomal RNA". It matches the Rfam family "Bacterial small subunit ribosomal RNA", at positions 523 to 796 of the family's 1533-position model. The record is from RNAcentral.